AUGGUGCUGUACCAAAUGCUUUGGCUAAUCUGAAGGCCCUUAACUAUUUGUAAGUUUCUAAAUUUAUCGUCAGAGGCUGCUGGCUAGCAACAUCAUGCAGACAACUUGAGAACAAUUUGUAGAUGUUGCAUGAAAUUGACUUGUUACCCUUUUUUACCUGUGUAUUUUAUUCAUUUCUAAUCUCCUUUUUCUAACUCCAUAAACAAAAGGCUUUUGUUUUUUCAUGUUAGUUGCCAAAAUUAGGAAUGCAGAUGGACCAGUUUACAACCCAAAGCAUUAGCUUGGGGUUUUCUUUAACCACAUCCUAUAACAUCCGAACUGAACUAAUAUGGCUUUACUCAUGCAAUCUGGUUUCCAAGGACCAAAGUUAUAGAGAUCAACAUGUAGCUACUUUUUUUUUAAUGAAAUUUCUUAUGAAAACAUAUCAAUAACUAAUGUAAUCCAUGUAUUUUGUCUCAGUGACUUGUCAAACAAUGAUUUAAUGGGCCCAAUACCGCCCUCUUUAGAAGAAUUGACAUCACUCAAUGUGCUGUAAGAACAGAUUUUUCUCUCUUACACAAUUCACCUGGUGCAUGCGUUUUCAAUAUCGAAAACUUCAAUUUUGUCGUGCACAUGCUUCAGGACUUCUCUCUCCACAUAUUAUAUGCUAAUGGUUGAGAAAGAUCAAACUUUUUGCAGAAUUUUGUCAAAUAACCGACUCAAUGGGCCUAUUCCAGCUUCUUUGUGUGAUGGACAAUCAAAAGGAUUACUUGAGUUGAGAGUGGACAACCAUCCGGAUAUAUGUCUCUGUCAUAGUACAUGUCAAAUUGGCAGCAAAGGAAGGAAGCUUGCUACAUUCACCAUUGUGCUGAUCGCUGUCGUCCCAGCGCUGAUUAUACUGCUGCUCCUAUCAUCGCUUUUAUUCUUCUUCUUGAGGAGAAAAAAAUCUGCAACAAAAUUAUGAUAGCUUGUCGCUCGUUAAAAUGUUAGAAUUGGGCUAAGGCAAUGGAAAGCUAUUCAAAUUAUUGACAGGUCUUUCUGGGUUGUUAUAUUGUGGUUAUUGUAUAAGUAUAUUUUGCAUGUAAUGAAAUGUGUCAGCAAAUUUGGAUUGAUAUAUCAUGUAAAAGCUUUAAAAGAUCUUAUGUUUGAGAUUUUAGAAGGUUAAGUUAGUUUUACAAUGAUAUAAACUUAUGGUAAAUAUUUGGAGUUUUGAUUGUAUAAAUUCUUAUGCUUGUGGAUUUAUAAGUGUGGUUAAUGAUUGUUAAGUUUGCUUGAA
Molecule: long non-coding RNA, 1255 nt
Organism: Musa acuminata AAA Group (dessert banana)
Lineage: Eukaryota; Viridiplantae; Streptophyta; Magnoliopsida; Zingiberales; Musaceae
Exons: 3
Source: RefSeq, a predicted model, not a curated record